AGCUCCAAUAGCGUAUAUUAAAGUUGUUGCGGUUAAAAAGCUCGUAGUUGGAUUUCUGCUGAGGACGACCGGUCCGCCCUCUGGGUGAGCAUCUGGCUCGGCCUUGGCAUCUUCUUGGGGAACGUUACUGCACUUGAUUGUGUGGUGCGGUAUCCAAGACUUUUACUUUGAGGAAAUUAGAGUGUUUCAAGCAGGCGCACGCCUUGAAUACAUUAGCAUGGAAUAAUAAGAUAGGACGUUGGUUCUAUUUUGUUGGUUUCUAAAGCUGACGUAAUGAUUAAUAGGGAUAGUUGGGGGCAUUCGUAUUUAACUGUCAGAGGUGAAAUUCUUGGAUUUGUUAAAGACGGACUACUGCGAACGCAUUUGCCAAGGAUGUUUUCAUUGAUCAAGAACGAAAGUA
Molecule: ribosomal RNA, 400 nt
Filed under: phytoplankton environmental sample
Lineage: Eukaryota
Description: partial small subunit ribosomal RNA
Rfam family: Eukaryotic small subunit ribosomal RNA
Source: RNAcentral